GACGUAGGGCGCGAGCGUUGUCCGGAUUUAUUGGGCGUAAAGAGCUCGUAGGCGGCUUGUCGCGUCGGUUGUGAAAGCCCGGGGCUUAACCCCGGGUCUGCAGUCGAUACGGGCUAGCUAGAGUGUGGUAGGGGAGAUCGGAAUUCCUGGUGUAGCGGUGAAAUGCGCAGAUAUCAGGAGGAACACCGGUGGCGAAGGCGGAUCUCUGGGCCAUUACUGACGCUGAGGAGCGAAAGCGUGGGGAGCGAACAGG
Molecule: ribosomal RNA, 253 nt
Filed under: uncultured bacterium
Lineage: Bacteria
Description: partial 16S ribosomal RNA
Rfam family: Bacterial small subunit ribosomal RNA
Source: RNAcentral